RNAcentral lists this ribosomal RNA (465 nucleotides) under Vreelandella stevensii. RNAcentral's name for it is "partial 16S ribosomal RNA". It matches the Rfam family "Bacterial small subunit ribosomal RNA", at positions 338 to 795 of the family's 1533-position model. The record is from RNAcentral. Lineage: Bacteria; Pseudomonadati; Pseudomonadota; Gammaproteobacteria; Oceanospirillales; Halomonadaceae.
CCUACGGGGGGCUGCAGUGGGGAAUAUUGGACAAUGGGCGAAAGCCUGAUCCAGCCAUGCCGCGUGUGUGAAGAAGGCCUUCGGGUUGUAAAGCACUUUCAGUGGGGAAGAAAGCCUUGGGGCUAAUACCCUCGAGGAAGGACAUCACCCACAGAAGAAGCACCGGCUAACUCCGUGCCAGCAGCCGCGGUAAUACGGAGGGUGCGAGCGUUAAUCGGAAUUACUGGGCGUAAAGCGCGCGUAGGCGGUCUGAUAAACCGGUUGUGAAAGCCCCGGGCUCAACCUGGGAACGGCAUCCGGAACUGUCAGGCUAGAGUGCAGGAGAGGAAGGUAGAAUUCCCGGUGUAGCGGUGAAAUGCGUAGAGAUCGGGAGGAAUACCAGUGGCGAAGGCGGCCUUCUGGACUGACACUGACGCUGAGGUGCGAAAGCGUGGGUAGCAAACAGGAUUAGAUACCCUUGUAGUC